UCCCCGUUGGCCGGGGCAGUCUGGCCUGAAAAAUACAACAGACCAUAAGGGUUGCGCUCGUUGCGGGACUUAACCCAACAUCUCACGACACGAGCUGACGACGGCCAUGCAACACCUGUCACCGGGUUCCCGAAGGCACUCCCAACUUUCGUCGGGAUUCCCGGGAUGUCAAGCCUAGGUAAGGUUCUUCGCGUAGCUUCGAAUUAAACCACAUGCUCCACUGCUUGUGCGGAGUCCCGUCUAUUCCUUUGAGUUUUAGCCUUGCGGCCGUACUCCCCAGGCGGAAUGCUUAACGCGUUAGCUUCUCAACGCAAAGGGUCGAUACUUCACACUAAUAGCAUUCAUCGUUUACGGCGUGGACUAC
RNAcentral lists this unclassified non-coding RNA (364 nucleotides) under uncultured bacterium. RNAcentral's name for it is "contains 16S-23S intergenic spacer region". The record is from RNAcentral.